GGCUUGGUGGUGCGCCGCAGGGGUCGUGCGAUGUCCGUGGGGAGCAGCUUGGUCACUGUCAUCAUCUGAGAAGAGCUCAAAGAAGCUGAAGAACAUGUUGCAAACACUGAGCCAAUUAAAAGUCAUCAUCGAUGGGAUGCAGACAGUGGCAAAGUCCCGGAAAGACACAUAUUGAGUCAAAACGGUUCUGAUGAUUGUAAGGAUAUUUUUCUGACUACAUGAAGCCGUUCUUUUGGCAGCUCUGAUUCAACAGAAAGUGGAGAUUCUCCAAACGAGCGGAUUGCUAGUGUUCUCAUCAUCAACCACUGUCUACGUUUGGCCCAAGGAAGAUCCCUGGACAGAGGAUUUCCAUGAUGAACCAUUAGGGAUGAACAAAGGUAGUACAUGCCUGUCAAUACCUACUAUAGAGCGAUAACUCUUGUUAAAGCAUGAUUUUCUCCUGAAUUGUUCUUCCAGUUCUCCCAAUUUUUUAAACUUGACAGGCUGCUAAAUAGCACCAGUUGGUGUCCUAGCUUGGACCGUUGAUUAAGUUGUAUUAGUGUUUUCUAAACUAGCUGGCAUGAUUGUCAUGGUCGGAGCCAAAUGAU
Long non-coding RNA from Lolium rigidum, 587 nucleotides. RefSeq lists it as uncharacterized. Lineage: Eukaryota; Viridiplantae; Streptophyta; Magnoliopsida; Poales; Poaceae. The record is from RefSeq and is a predicted model, not a curated record. The transcript is spliced from 3 exons.